RNAcentral lists this ribosomal RNA (1322 nucleotides) under metagenome. Its description in RNAcentral is "bacterial LSU rRNA". It matches the Rfam family "Bacterial large subunit ribosomal RNA", at positions 1561 to 2925 of the family's 2925-position model. The record is from RNAcentral.
AGUGGAUGGGGAGCAACCUAGUUGUGCGUGUUUAAAGGUAGUGCCAAGAAAAGCGAUGAUCAUGUUGAAAAUCAAUUCCCGGUACCCGAAACCGACACAGGUGGGCAAGUAGAGAAUACUAAGGGGCGCGAGGUAACUCUCUCCAAGGAACUCGGCAAAAUGACCCCGUAACUUAGAAGGGGUGCCACCGAGAGGUGGUCGCAGUGAAGAGGCCCAGGCGACUGUUUAGCAAAAACAUAGGUCUCUGCAAACUCGAAAGAGGAGGUAUAGGGGCUGACGCCUGCCCAGUGCCGGAAGGUUAAAGAAGUUGGUCAGUCUUAGGAUGAAGCUAGCGACUGAAGCCCCGGUGAACGGCGGCCGUAACUAUAACGGUCCUAAGGUAGCGAAAUUCCUUGUCGGGUAAGUUCCGACCCGCACGAAAGGCGUAACGAUCUGGGCGCUGUCUCGGAGAGAGGCUCGGCGAAAUAGGAUUGUCUGUGAAGAUACGGACUACCUGCAUUUGGACAGAAAGACCCUAUGAAGCUUUACUAUAGCUUGGAAUUGUGUUCGGGCUUCCUGUGCGCAGGAUAGGUGGGAGGCGUAGAAGGUAUUCUUGUGGGGAUACUGGAGCCAACGGUGAGAUACCACUCUCAGGAGGCUAGAAUUCUAACUUAAUUAAGGACAGUUUCAGGUGGGUAGUUUGACUGGGGCGGUCGCCUCCAAAAAGGUAACGGAGGCGUACAAAGGUUCCCUCAGACUGGUUGGAAAUCAGUCGAAGAGUGCAAAGGCAGAAGGGAGCUUGACUGCGAGAAGUACAGUUCGAGCAGGGUGGAAACACGGUCUUAGUGAUCCGACGGUGCUGUGUGGAAGGGCCGUCGCUCAACGGAUAAAAGUUACUCUAAGGAUAACAGGCUGAUCUCCCCCAAGAGUUCACAUCGACGGGGAGGUUUGGCACCUCGAUGUCGGCUCAUCGCAACCUGGGGCGGAAGUACGUCCCAGGGGUUGGGCUGUUCGCCCAUUAAAGCGGUACGUGAGCUGGGUUCAGAACGUCGUGAGACAGUUCGGUCCAUAUCCGAUGUAGGCGUGAGAAUAUUGAGAGGAGCCUUCCUUAGUACGAGAGGACCGGGAAGGACGCACCGCUGGUGUACCUGUUAUGAUGCCAAUUGUAAACGCAGGGUAGCCAAGUGCGGAGAGGAUAACCGCUGAAAGCAUCUAAGUGGGAAGCCCACCUCAAGAUGAGUAUUCUGGUGUAAGGUCACGGGAAGACGACCCGUAAAUAGGCACGAGGUGGAAGUGCAGAGAUGUAUGAAGCCGAAGUGUACUAAUAGACCGUCGGCUUGACC